GGUUAAGCGACUAAGCGUACACGGUGGAUGCCCUGGCAGUCAGAGGCGAUGAAGGACGUGCUAAUCUGCGAUAAGCGUCGGUAAGGUGAUAUGAACCGUUAUAACCGGCGAUUUCCGAAUGGGGAAACCCAGUGUGAUUCGUCACACUAUCAUUAACUGAAUCCAUAGGUUAAUGAGGCGAACCGGGGGAACUGAAACAUCUAAGUACCCCGAGGAAAAGAAAUCAACCGAGAUUCCCCCAGUAGCGGCGAGCGAACGGGGAGCAGCCCAGAGCCUGAAUCAGUGUGUGUGUUAGUGGAAGCGUCUGGAAAGGCGCGCGAUACAGGGUGACAGCCCCGUACACAAAAAUGCACAUAUUGUGAGCUCGAUGAGUAGGGCGGGACACGUGGUAUCCUGUCUGAAUAUGGGGGGACCAUCCUCCAAGGCUAAAUACUCCUGACUGACCGAUAGUGAACCAGUACCGUGAGGGAAAGGCGAAAAGAAC
This 484-nucleotide ribosomal RNA is filed under the name Escherichia coli. Its description in RNAcentral is "partial 23S ribosomal RNA". It matches the Rfam family "Bacterial large subunit ribosomal RNA", at positions 1 to 524 of the family's 2925-position model. Lineage: Bacteria; Pseudomonadati; Pseudomonadota; Gammaproteobacteria; Enterobacterales; Enterobacteriaceae. The record is from RNAcentral.